This 644-nucleotide ribosomal RNA is filed under the name uncultured Gammaproteobacteria bacterium. RNAcentral describes it as "bacterial SSU rRNA". It matches the Rfam family "Bacterial small subunit ribosomal RNA", at positions 1 to 655 of the family's 1533-position model. Lineage: Bacteria; Pseudomonadati; Pseudomonadota; Gammaproteobacteria. The record is from RNAcentral.
UAGAGUUUGAUCCUGGCUCAGAUUGAACGCUGGCGGCAUGCCUAACACAUGCAAGUCGAACGGCAGCGCGGGCUUCGGCCUGGCGGCGAGUGGCGGACGGGUGAGGAAUACAUAGGAAUCUGCCCAGUCGUGGGGGAUAACCCGGGGAAACCCGGACUAAUACCGCAUACGACGGUGACGUGAAAGCCGGGGACCUUCGGGCCUGGCGCGAUUGGAUGAGCCUAUGUCGGAUUAGCUAGUUGGCGGGGUAAAGGCCCACCAAGGCGACGAUCCGUAGCUGGUCUGAGAGGAUGAUCAGCCACACUGGGACUGAGACACGGCCCAGACUCCUACGGGAGGCAGCAGUGGGGAAUAUUGGACAAUGGGCGCAAGCCUGAUCCAGCAAUGCCGCGUGGGUGAAGAAGGCCUUCGGGUUGUAAAGCCCUUUUGUACGGGAAGAAAUCAUCCGGGUUAAUACCCUGGGUGGAUGACGGUACCGUAAGAAUAAGCACCGGCUAACUUCGUGCCAGCAGCCGCGGUAAUACGAAGGGUGCAAGCGUUAAUCGGAAUUACUGGGCGUAAAGCGUGCGUAGGUGUUGUUCAGUCUGUCGUGAAGCCUGGCUCACCUGGGAUGGCGAUGGAACUGGCGACUGGAUGCGUAAAGA